GUGAAUAUAUUUUUCCUGCUGUAGACAGUUGGUGUCGUUAAGGCAUAAUGGCAGAUGCCGCCAACCGAGGCCGGAGGUAAGAACUUGCAAGCUAAAAAUUGCGGGGCCUCUGCGUGUGUCUGCACAGAGGUUCCGCUUUUUAUUUGGUAUA
Regulatory RNA element from Desulfotomaculum nigrificans CO-1-SRB, 151 nucleotides. It matches the Rfam family "Ribosomal protein L10 leader". Rfam says of the family: This family is a putative r-protein leader autoregulatory structure found in B. subtilis and other low-GC Gram-positive bacteria. It is located in the 5' untranslated regions of mRNAs encoding ribosomal proteins L10 and L12 (rplJ-rplL). A Rho-independent transcription terminator structure that is probably involved in regulation is included at the 3' end. Lineage: Bacteria; Bacillati; Bacillota; Clostridia; Eubacteriales; Desulfotomaculaceae. The record is from Rfam.